Caenorhabditis elegans is the source of this 131-nucleotide non-coding RNA. NCBI's taxonomy places the organism in Eukaryota, Metazoa, Nematoda, Chromadorea, Rhabditida, Rhabditidae. The record is from Ensembl.
AAAAUAAAACGAUAGGUGAAACGAGCGAAUCGAUAAGGAGGCAGAAUUAUGCCAUAAAAAUUCCUGAUGCGUGAUGCAUUUCGAUAACACGAGUAAAGAGAGUUUCGUCUGUGGAAAUAAGAAGGGAAAUG